GAUGAACGCUGGCGGCGUGCCUAAUACAUGCAAGUCGAGCGAACGCACGAUAAGCUUUCUUCUCUGAUGGUAGCGGCUGACGGGUGAGUAACACGUGGAUAACCUACCUAUAAUACUGGGAUAACUUCGUGAAACCGUAUCUAAUACUAGAUAAUAUGUUGAACCGCAUGGUGCAAAAGUUAAAGACGGUCUUGGUGUCACUUAUAGAUGGAUCCGCGCUGCAUUAGCUAGUUGGUAAGGUAACGGCUUACCAAGGCAACGAUGCAUAGCCGACCUGAGAGGGUGAUCGGCCACACUGGAACUGAGACACGGUCCAGACUCCUACGGGAGGCAGCAGUAGGGAAUAUUGCGCAAUGGGCGAAAGCCUGACGGAGCAACGCCGCGUGAGUGAUGAAGGUCUUCGGAUCGUAAAACUCUGUUAUUAGGGAAGAACAGAUGUGUAAGUAACUGUGCACAUUUUGACGGUACCUAAACAGAAAGCAACGGCUAACUACGUG
RNAcentral lists this ribosomal RNA (497 nucleotides) under uncultured bacterium. RNAcentral describes it as "partial 16S ribosomal RNA". It matches the Rfam family "Bacterial small subunit ribosomal RNA", at positions 28 to 507 of the family's 1533-position model. The record is from RNAcentral.